GCGGAUGUAGCUCAGUCAGGCAGAGCGCAUGGUUUUCCGUGAGGUCGGCGGUUCGAGUCCGCCCGUCCGCACCA
RNAcentral lists this transfer RNA (74 nucleotides) under Phocaeicola vulgatus. RNAcentral's name for it is "tRNA-Xxx". It matches the Rfam family "tRNA". Rfam says of the family: Transfer RNA (tRNA) molecules are approximately 80 nucleotides in length. Their secondary structure includes four short double-helical elements and three loops (D, anti-codon, and T loops). The record is from RNAcentral. Lineage: Bacteria; Pseudomonadati; Bacteroidota; Bacteroidia; Bacteroidales; Bacteroidaceae. RNAcentral also lists the same sequence under 8 other names.